Molecule: non-coding RNA, 3095 nt
Organism: Camellia sinensis
Lineage: Eukaryota; Viridiplantae; Streptophyta; Magnoliopsida; Ericales; Theaceae
Source: RefSeq, a predicted model, not a curated record
GACAGAGUUUGGGGAUAUAAAUGUAGAAAUGGUAAGCCUAAGGUGGAAAUGAAGAUGGUGGGGUGCCCAAUGGAGAUCAGAAGAGGCACAAUGUUAUGGGUUUCAUUGGAAUUCAAACUGGGUUUGCAUCGGCGAUUGUUGCGGCGGACUUGGAUGCCAUCAGAUCAGCAAGGACUUCAAUGGGUAAUUUGGAUUGGAGGGUGGUUGCAUAACUGAAGACCUCAAUCUUCUGGACACAUCAGCAAUACUGCACAUGGAACCGAGAAAAGCAGCAACAGCAGCAGAUGCCCAGCUCUUCGGCCUCCUCUCUAAUCUCCUCCAGCAGUGGCUUCAAGGUUCUGAUAAUUGAUCUGUUUUUGUCCGAUGCUGCUCUCCAGUUCUCCAGUCCUUGAUGUUUGCAUCUCGAACUUUGCUCACAAGGUAACCUUCAUCAUCUUCUGAAUUUUUUGGGUCUAUCUUUGCGCCUUCUUCCAAGGUAUUCAUUCCCUUUUCCCACCACUUCGAAUUGUGUUGAUUGUGGACAUUUGACGAGUUCUUUGCAUUUUCUUUGAAUUAUUUGAUUCAAUUUCAGUUUCUUUGCAUUUUCUCUGAAUUUUGUUAAUGGGCAUUAGUUUUUUUGUUUCAAUGGCUUCAAGGUUCUAAGACAAAUUAGAUCUAAUUUGAUAUAAAUGGUGUUUUUUUAAUGUAGAAACUCGGCAAACUCUUUUUCCAUUGGAUUGAUAAUAGUUUAUUACUUGAGUCUUUCAGCUCACAAUUAAUUGGAAUAAAUUUUUUUUUUGUGCCUUUUUAUAAAAAAGACAAACUAAUUUCAUAACUCAGAAAUUUUACCAAGUUUUUCUGCUAAACUACCAACUAAAUUAAGCCUUAGAAAAUGUAGGCUCGCACCCUGUUCACUAUUGGUUUUGACAGAAUGUCUGUGAGUCCUUCAUACUGGUUUGGAAUUUUAGGAAAUUACGAGACAUAAGCAUCUUGAAGGAGUUGGAAAAAUUUGUUCUUUACUUGCUCGCAAAACUUUUUGCUUUAUUGUUGACUAUUAAUUGUGUGCACACCAAUUGUUUUCAGUUCUCCUUGCAAUAUCUGUUCCAUAAAUGAAAAAUAAUACAUGGAAGUGAAAGGUAUGCAUUCCUUUUAAACACUAAAUAGUACAGAUUCAGUCAGUUUGUUUGUUUGUUUUUUUUUUUUUGCCAGCAAAUAACAACCACUUUCUAUAAUAGGAAUGCACUUACAAAUACUUGGUAGCAUGGGAUUUGUUACAUUUGAGAGGGACACAAAUGCCUUGAGAGCCAGAAAAGUAUUGAUACCUGGAAUAAUAAACUCUAAUUCCCUCUCAAAACAAGAAUGAAAUCAGAAUCCAGAAAAGCCCAGAGUGUUGCAAUAAAAAAUAAAGAAUAAAAAGACAUCCAAUGGGAUUGCCCCCAUUUUGGUCUAAUAAUAACCCAGACCCCUGUAACAUCAAUGGGGGCAAUUUUGGCCACAUUAUUCUCCAACCAUGAAAGCAAUAUCAGAAUAAUGGUUCCAGACCUUUCUGUUCAACUCAAAAAUAAAUAAACUUAUCAUUUCACAGCCAUUCCCAUAAUAUAAUUUUGAUUUCUGACAAACAAAUAAGGUAUGUGUACAGUACUUUUGAGAUCACAUAUAUGAACGAAUAUCAAAGUUUCGUUUCAUUCAAGCUAGAAUAAGCUCCUUUUGCUUAGGAUAUACAUGUUUAUAAACUAAAUUCAAUAUUAUAUCACAUAAUUCCUAACCAUAUAGUCAAUUUCUAUUAGGAACAAAACCCCAAUUUAAAACAACAUUAUGCCAAUAGGUGUUUAAACAAUCAUCUAAAUAUCACUGACCUCUAAUUCCAGUUCUUCAUGCCAGGCUGUUUUGUGAGAUGAUGAGCAGAAACUGGUUCAAUGAGAGAAGAAUUGUUUUGGCAUUGGAGAGAGAGGAUGACUUAUUGAGAGAGUUCAUGAAAAGGCAAAGAAUUGGACAUUAGUCAAGAAUUGUAGGCAAGUAAUCUUAUUGACACUUUCUUUUUUCUUUUUCCUUUUUUAAAUGUUGUGACUGAGGAGGAUGAACCAGACACUUCUUGCUAUUUUUGGUCUCAAAGGUAUUGACUUAACACAUACACAGUUAAUGAAAUGUUUGAUUCUUUAAUGAGAAAUGGGUGUUAAUUUUUUUAUUCAUAAAAUGGGUUUUUCUAUAUUACUUUUGAGUUUGCUAAAUACUCUUUAAAUGCUGAUAUGGAUUUUCCUGUAUUUAUUGGGCUUUUUGUGUUUUUCUAUUUUUUCCCCCUUUAUUUGGGAGUGGGGAUUGGUAAGCUGUGAUAUAUAUAUAUAUAUAGUUUCAGCAUUGCCUAUUACUUUUUUAAGACCCUAUAAACAAUUGUCCCCUUACUGUAUGCUGUUGAUUUGUUGUUUUAUCAAUUGAAUUUUAUUAUAUCAGUUUAGUCUUAUAGUUUAUUUAAUUUCAAUCUAAAUUUUGUUGGCUGCUGCCCAUGAGCUAACCAAAUAGAUCCAAAGGGGUUGGUUUGAUAUUUUGCUUAUGAUCAUGUACUGCUUAACAAAUAUUCAAAAUUUAUUUAAGGUUGGAAGCAAAAUGAAUCUGAAAGGGUGUAGGUGAAGAUUGAAGAAGAUGAUGGAGGGUUACAUACACAAAAUUGAUGGGACUAAACUGAUAUAAUAAAUGGCUUUGGGUUUUUGGAAGAAAAUAAAUGGGGUUUUUUAAGUUGUAUUGAUUUGUAAAUGAUGGGAGAAUUAAGUUAGAGUUUAUUGUUGAAUUACCAAGCGAAGAGUUUGCUUUUUGAACUUUAUUUUAUUAAAUUCUUUCUUAAGAACACGUCUUUCUUAAAUUUUCCCUCUAACCUUAUGUGAUCAAUUAAAGGAAGUUCCAAAAAGAAAGAGUUGAAAAAAAUAAAAUCCAAAGAAAAUAUUGAUUGAUUUUUAUAAAUUAAUAUUUUUAUUAAUCAAUAAUUUGUAUUUGUGUUGAUAAUGUGUUGUGUUUGUUCGUAGUGUUUGCAUUGGGUAACCAAUUAUUAUUUUGCAACAAUGUAUGUGUUUGGUUUCAAUUGGGUAGUCUCUUUUAAUUAUCAUAUUGGCUUUUUUUUUUUCUAU